RNAcentral lists this ribosomal RNA (261 nucleotides) under uncultured bacterium. Its description in RNAcentral is "partial 16S ribosomal RNA". It matches the Rfam family "Bacterial small subunit ribosomal RNA", at positions 793 to 1055 of the family's 1533-position model. The record is from RNAcentral.
GUCCACGCCCUAAACGAUGUCAACUGGUUGUUGGGUCUUCACUGACUCAGUAACGAAGCUAACGCGUGAAGUUGACCGCCUGGGGAGUACGGCCGCAAGGUUGAAACUCAAAAGGAAUUGACGGGGACCCGCACAAGCGGUGGAUCAUGUUGUUUAAUUCGAAGAUACCCGAAAAACCUUACCAGGUCUUGACAUACUCUGCAAAAGCUAAUAGAGAUAUAGUGGAGGUUAACAGAGAUACAGGUGGUGCAUGGUUGUCGU